Long non-coding RNA from Micropterus dolomieu (smallmouth bass), 1742 nucleotides. RefSeq lists it as uncharacterized. The transcript is spliced from 8 exons. The record is from RefSeq and is a predicted model, not a curated record. NCBI's taxonomy places the organism in Eukaryota, Metazoa, Chordata, Actinopteri, Centrarchiformes, Centrarchidae.
AAGGUAAUAUAACCACAUAGACACUCUACACAUAAGGUCUUUAAAUAGGCAUAAUGGUCAUUAGCGUUAUACCAAAGUAGGGGGGAUAGGUCCAGAGAAAGAAAAAUAAUCUACCGUACCUGGGUCCAGGCUGAAGUUGAAGGAGAUAUAUAAACCUGCAUUUUCAUCCAGACCAUCCACAGCUUUGACUGUGAAGUUCAACGUUCCUUCAGUGGGAAGUGUUACACUAAGACAUGUCCCAUUCCCAGCUUCACCUACUGUCCCAUCACCACCCCUGUCGUCAUGUCCCACAGGGUACUUGUUGGGCAGGGUGACCUGUAUGGCCUGUUCAUGGUCCAGGUCCUGGAUGGGUAUGAACUGGCCCUGAGGCGUGGUGAGCUCCAUGGCAACUAGAGUGGUGGAAAUUGGAGGGUCGGCUGCAGUCAGCAAAGGGUUAGAUCCUAAUUCUGCAUCCACAUCAAACAGUACCUGUACCACCUCAGACUUCUGAAUCUUCAGGACUUCCCAUUGGAACCAGGCUGCCAAAUGUUGAACGAGUACCCCUAGGAAGAGAAUUGGAUAAAAUGCUCACAUUUGACAUUCCAGUGCAGAUCACUACCCUUCCAACUGAGGCCAUGGAGAGGAACGACAGCACUUGUGGUGAUAUAAAAUGGAUGAUUUCUUUCUUCAAUUUCAAAGUCCACCUGUUGGACCUCCUCCUGAACAUUAAAGUCUUUGGUGACAUUGCUGUGGCUGAGGACAUUCUGAACAGAAACUUUGAAAAGACAAUGACCCAAACUUGUAAAGGUGUGGAGGAGAAAGGGCUCCUGUGUCUGCAGGGGUGGAAGAUCAGAUUUCACAAACCAAAGCUUUGCAGCCAUCGCCAAAGUCCCAAGUGUAGACGACUGCAUAGGAGGAGGGCUCAGCGGAAGCUUCCAGAAGAAGAGUCUGUUUGACGAGGGGCACGGGAAGGGAAGAGGAAAUGAGGAGCCCUUCCAUGGUCUGACAUGGGGCAGACUGGGUGUGGAUCACUUUGCUACUGCCAUCCCCAAAAUCCCACCUACAUGGCAUGCACCACAUGGGAAUUUGGGAUAAGCUGAAAAUACAACUUUACAGACUUCUCAUGCGACUUCCUGGGCACUUCCAGUGUGACACUUUACUGACCUCCACUGUGAGUUGACCGAUGUCUGGGACCUUGGGGAAGGGGUGUAUCUGGGUCUGAGCAUAGAUGCCGGUCAUGAGGACAACUCCAGUCACGAAACUGGCCACAGAUGGUAAAGAUUCUGCAUGAAGAGGAAUUAACCAAAAUCACCUCAUGAGAAAGAGGUGUCUUCCAGCACAUUGAGCCUUCCUCCACCGUUUCUGUGUCCCCAAGGCCAUUUGAGUACAUACCGCCUGACUUUCACUGGCUCCGGCCCACCAUGAUGGCCCUGCUGGCUUCAAAACCCCAACCUGGUCAGACCCUUCUCCAUCUGAUCCCUUCAGCCAUACCCACACAGUGGUUUUCCUUAACCAGCACGAAAACAAAGGCCAUGAAAAUGUCAUCUCAGAGAGCCAAUAGCAUCGCUGGCUGGGAAGGUGGAUCUGACCUCCUUUUGGACAAGGGAUGUCCUCUGGAAGGCAACAAACACACUGAACCGAUCUCCAAAAGGAGCCAUUUGUCAACAACGGAGUUGUCAAAGAAUCAAAGAAAUAAAAAGAAUGUGGGUAAAUAAAACGAACCAAAGUCUUGAAAGGUGAGCAAGCUGACUAACUCAAUUGAA